GCCCCUAGCAAAACACAAGUAUUAGGGGUAAUGCCUGCCCAGUGACACUGUUAAACGGCCGCGGUAUCCCAACCGUGCAAAGGUAGCGUAAUAACUUGUCUUUUAAAUAAAGACUAGAAUGAAUGGCCAAACGAGGCUCCGCCUGUCUCUUACAGAUAAUCAGUGAAAUUGAUCUUCCCGUGCAAAAGCAGGAAUAACAUUAUAAGACGAGAAGACCCUGUGGAACUUCAAAUAUAAAGUCAACUAUCACCAACAUCUGCCUAACAGGCACUAUACCAAAUAGCAUUUUGACCUUUACUUUUUGGUUGGGGUGACCUCGGAGCAAAACAAAACCUCCGAAAAACUUAAACCUAGAACCACAACUCAAAGUGCUCUCGGCAAAGCGAUCCAAUACAUUUGAUCAACGAACCAAGCUACCCCAGGGAUAACAGCGCAAUCCCAUCCUAGAGUCCAUAUCAACGAUGGGGUUUACGACCUCGAUGUUGGAUCAGGACAUCCUGAUGGUGCAACAGCUAUCAAGGGUUCGUUUGUUCAACGAUUAACAGUCCUACGUGA
RNAcentral lists this ribosomal RNA (555 nucleotides) under Malacochersus tornieri. RNAcentral describes it as "partial 12S ribosomal RNA". It matches the Rfam family "Bacterial large subunit ribosomal RNA", at positions 1818 to 2603 of the family's 2925-position model. Lineage: Eukaryota; Metazoa; Chordata; Testudines; Testudinidae. The record is from RNAcentral.